This 467-nucleotide ribosomal RNA is filed under the name uncultured bacterium. RNAcentral describes it as "partial 16S ribosomal RNA". It matches the Rfam family "Bacterial small subunit ribosomal RNA", at positions 28 to 506 of the family's 1533-position model. The record is from RNAcentral.
GACGAACGCUGGCGGCGUGCUUAACACAUGCAAGUCGAACGGAAAGGCCCUGCUUUUGUGGGGUGCUCGAGUGGCGAACGGGUGAGUAACACGUGAGUAACCUGCCCUUGACUUUGGGAUAACUUCAGGAAACUGGGGCUAAUACCGGAUAGGAGCUCCUGCUGCAUGGUGGGGGUUGGAAAGUUUCGGCGGUUGGGGAUGGACUCGCGGCUUAUCAGCUUGUUGGUGGGGUAGUGGCUUACCAAGGCUUUGACGGGUAGCCGGCCUGAGAGGGUGACCGGCCACAUUGGGACUGAGAUACGGCCCAGACUCCUACGGGAGGCAGCAGUGGGGAAUAUUGCACAAUGGGCGGAAGCCUGAUGCAGCAACGCCGCGUGCGGGAGGACGGCCUUCGGGUGGUAAACCGCUUUCGCCUGUGACGAAGCGUGAGUGACGGUAAUGGUUAAAGAAGCACCGGCUAACUACGU